RNAcentral lists this signal recognition particle RNA (299 nucleotides) under Cavia aperea (Brazilian guinea pig). RNAcentral's name for it is "Metazoan signal recognition particle RNA (ENSCAPG00000005018.1)". It matches the Rfam family "Metazoan signal recognition particle RNA". Rfam says of the family: The signal recognition particle (SRP) is a universally conserved ribonucleoprotein. It is involved in the co-translational targeting of proteins to membranes. Lineage: Eukaryota; Metazoa; Chordata; Mammalia; Rodentia; Caviidae. The record is from RNAcentral.
GCCGGGCGUGGUGGCGCGUGCCUGUAGUCCCAGCUACUCGGGAGGCUGAGGUGGGAGGAUCGCUUGAGUCCAGGAGUUCUGGGCUGCAGUGCGCUAUGCCGAUCGGGUGUCCGCACUAAGUUCCGCAUCAAUAUGGUGACCUCCCGGGAGCGGGGGACCACCAGGUUGCCUAAGGAGGGGUGAACCGGCCCAGGUCGGAAACGGAGCAGGUCAAAACUCCCGUGCUGAUCAGUAGUGGGAUCGCGCCUGUGAAUAGCCACUGCACUCCAGCCUGGGCAAUAUAGUGAGACCCUGUCUCU